AUUUAUUCAUAUAUAGUACUUUGUAUCUUCUUUAUUUGAUCACUUUCGUAUUUAUUUUACUUCCAUUGAUUUGAACUCUAUAGAUCUUUCAAAUCUUAAUUUAUUCCUAUAUUUAUUUAUGUAUUUUCUACCUUGAUUCUACACAUGACUAAAGUACAGAACAGUACUUUAGUCCUGUGUAGUUGUUUGAAAAGCUGUCUAAAUAAAGUUGUAUUGGAUUGGAGGUCCCCUCUUUGAUAUGUAGACAACGCCCAGAGAUCCAGGUCCCCUCUUGGCAAUUUCUUUAAAAAUAAUUAAAAGUCACAUUUUCAGUUAUAUUAUGGUAAUACAGCUUAAAAGUGAAUUUUGUAUUGGGUUAAUUUUUUUUCAAAACGACCAGAAACAUAAGUCCACUGUUACCAGGUUCCCCCGACAGUCCCCUCUUCCCUCGGUAAGUGUGUGUGCCAUCCUGUG
Molecule: long non-coding RNA, 453 nt
Organism: Melanotaenia boesemani (Boeseman's rainbowfish)
Lineage: Eukaryota; Metazoa; Chordata; Actinopteri; Atheriniformes; Melanotaeniidae
Exons: 3
Source: RefSeq, a predicted model, not a curated record